RNAcentral lists this non-coding RNA (30 nucleotides) under Rattus norvegicus (Norway rat). Lineage: Eukaryota; Metazoa; Chordata; Mammalia; Rodentia; Muridae. The record is from RNAcentral.
UCUGUGUGGCUUCAGAUAGGAGUUGGCACA